GUUUCCUCCAGGUGUGGAGAUGCUUGUAUCUGGGACCCCCUGCCAUUUCUCAGGACACCCUCCUGCUCCUAGCUGGGAGAUCCAGCAUCCUCAUGAAUGCGGGGCCCAAGGCCACCAACUGUUCCACCUGCUGUCAGCCAGGCCUGUUGCCCCAGCCCUACACCCACAGCUCACCCAGCAGGGACUGGAGUGUGCUGCUGCACUGCUGGAGCCGGUCGCCCGGGUCGGAGGUUGGGAAGAAGACAGCCGCUGGCAGGCCACUGGUUGGGGGGUCCAGCCGGAAGCCCACAGCGGUGAGGAGGGCCUGCCAGCCAGGGAUGCCGCCCACUUUGUUCUCCACACUCUGCUGGGAUGUGUACAUGGCAUUGCGCUGCCCAUUCUGGAUGCGCUGCAGGGAUUUCUCCACCUGAGGGGGAAUUGGGGUAAACACUGGGAUGCCGGAGCUCAGGCAUCCCAGACAGGAGGAAGUGUGUACUCACACCAGCCAGGAGGAAACAAGCCUGCCUGGGAGGACAGACGAUCAGCCCUGGCUGUCCCUCAGGAGCGGGGGGCCUCCAAGGCACACUGCCCACUGGGUCAAGGAGUAUCCAGGAGGAGUUAGAAGCAUGACCCAUCUGCCUGGCACCAGCACCUGGGGCUGCCAGGCAGCCACCCCUGCAGCUGUGUUGACAGGACCUGGCAGAGGGACUGACCCACCUUUGGAAAAUGACACCAGCAAUAUCAGGAUGUGUCAACUGGAUUUAUGCUAAGAAAAUAGGAUUUUUGGUGUUCCUCUGUUUCCCAAAGUUUGAGACACUUUCAGACACUCUGCUUUGCGGUUGUGGCCGAUGUUACCCAUGGGUGGGACUUUUGCUUUGCUCUAGAUUUUUGUAACACCCUGGGGAGUUUCAGGGGCCAAUGCUGAGAGAAGACCACAGGCUGACACAUCAUGAGACCCUCUGGGCAGGUCCACUAAGAGCAUGUAUUCUAGAACAUGCAGGGCUUGAAGCUUCACAAGAUAUUCAGUGCACUCCUUACAGAUCCUGUCAAAUGUGGACCGGGUGGUGUCAUCGCACCACCAUCAUCCCCUUGUUACCCCUGAGAACACAGCUUCAGAGAGGGUAAGUAACCUAUCUCAGGCCACACAGCCAGGACAUGGAGUAGAUCCAUCCUAAGUCUUUCUACCACACACUCCUUUCUACAGUCAUGGGUUAAAUGAGGGUGCCAUGGAAUGGGUCAUCCAGUGUACACUGACAUCAGGAGGAGUUUCACAUUCAUACACUCAUGGCAAAUGGUUCUGUUGCUCCCUGGUCCAAAGAUGAUCUUAAUAGUAGGAAAAACUCAUUUGGCAGAAGCAAGACUCAGCACACAGGCUCUCUCCCUGAGUCUUCUGUGGCUGGCCUUGCCCUGCCCUCCCCUCCCCAACCCCACUGGCAGAAUAAAGUCGGGGGGCUGUGAGGACUGAGCCCCAGGCCUUGACAGGCACCCGCAGCCAGCCGAACUCCCACCUGCCCAGUUGGAGGGGUGCGAGAAGGCCUUGCUGCUCUGCACCACCUUCAUGGCCUCCCCCAGGGCGGCGCUGGCUUUCAGGCCGUUCAGCAGGGAUGAGUAGAAGGCAUGGAUGAACAUCUUAGAAGCAGCCACUGGCACAGGCCACAGAGACACGAGGACACACUGAGCGCCGGCAGCCAGGAAGGCCCUUGUCAGCGCGAUGACCCCGUCGGCUGUGACUUUGCUGUUGGACUCCUGGGAGGAGCCAAGCACCACCAGCUUCACAGGCAGCUGCAGGUCCAGGACGUCGGCGGCAGUGCCUAACUUACUGAGAAUCAUGCCUGCUGUGAUGAGCCCUUGGAAACCAUCAGGACUGGAUGGUAGGGGUCCUGAGAGGAUUGGGGGAGGAGGCCUUGAUAUGACAGAGUGGACAGAGGCCGUGGAACCCAGGACAGCCAGCCUGCUCCACAAUCCUCAUCCCCACAGACCUUCAUGUGUGGCUCCUAAAUAAGAGGAAACCCACUCCUGAUAAGUCAGGGGCUUUGAAAAGUGAUUUUGUUUAAAUGGUGCAAACAAGCAAGCCAAUCUUGGGGAGACAGGGCUAAACUUAAGUCCUUUAAGAAGCUCUACAUACUGACAAGAUUCUAGUUCCCUUCCACCUUAUAUGCUGCAAAGUAAAAAGUAUCACUGAAUGAGAAAAUCAGCAUAAAGAAGCCCAAUAAUGUCUGCCUGAGUUUCCCCUAUGAUGACUUUUGGUACUUUUUGGGAAACAUUAAGUAUGAAGUUAUUUCAAAAUAAUUUUUUGGUGCCUCUGCUUGGUGAUGCCUUAAACUCUGGGUAAGAGAAACACCAGGUGCCUGUCAGGAGAUGGCCUUUUCCAGGUUUCUGGUUAAGCUACAAACAGCUAACUGGCUGCUGUCAUCAAAAUAAAAGCUUUCUGAAGGUGGAGGCAUCUGAUACCCAGAGUGCUGCUAUCAGCCGGCACGGUGGGCCGCUGGGUGGCAGGAGCGUCGAGAAGGCCAGCUCGCUUCCUAUCUGGGAUUCAGAAUCAGCUAUGGAAACUUGAGAGACCUAGAGAAAAUAACUUCUUUCACUUUGAACUGAUUCUUUGCUUCAUAAGAAAAGUAUUAUCCAGCCACAAAAAUGGUCAAAAUUCAGAUCUACAAAAGCCUGUCAGGCAGAAACUGACCCCACUUAGGCCACGCCAAUGAGCAAGUCAUCAAAGCAGCCAAGACAGGUCCUGUGGGGGCCACCCAUGCACAGGGCCCAGCCUCGGGUCCUAACCCCGCCUAUGCUUUCCGCCACCAUAAAGAGGCCCAUCUGGGUAAGACCUGUCCCGCCUGCUGUGGGGUAUUAGGGCAGAUGGGGUCUGAGGGGUCUGAGGGCUCUGAGAGCAGCUGGCAGCUCAAGGACAUCCGGAGUUGGAGGAUGGAGCAAUGCAGGCCCUUGUGGUAAAGACAGUCCUGCAGCCGCGCAGGCAGGGAUGCUGCAAGUGGAGUGCCAGGCGGGUGCGGAGCCCUGUGGGACUGUGGAGGGGUCAGAGGGAAGCCAGGAUUUUGGGGUCUCUGAGAGUUUGGAGAAGGGGAAGAAGAUUAAAGCUUGUUUCAAAA
This 3080-nucleotide long non-coding RNA is filed under the name Homo sapiens (human). RNAcentral's name for it is "TTC28 antisense RNA 1". The stretch from base 425 to 605 matches the Rfam family "TTC28 antisense RNA 1 conserved region 3". The record is from RNAcentral. Lineage: Eukaryota; Metazoa; Chordata; Mammalia; Primates; Hominidae.